GACGAACGCUGGCGGCGUGCCUAAUACAUGCAAGUAGAACGCUGAAGAGAGGAGCUUGCUCUUCUUGGAUGAGUUGCGAACGGGUGAGUAACGCGUAGGUAACCUGCCUUGUAGCGGGGGAUAACUAUUGGAAACGAUAGCUAAUACCGCAUAACAAUGGAUGACACAUGUCAUUUAUUUGAAAGGGGCAAUUGCUCCACUACAAGAUGGACCUGCGUUGUAUUAGCUAGUAGGUGAGGUAAUGGCUCACCUAGGCGACGAUACAUAGCCGACCUGAGAGGGUGGUCGGCCACCCUGGGACUGGGACACGGCCCAGACCCCUCCGGGAGGCAGCAGUAGGAAAUCUUCGGCAAUGGGGGCAACCCUGACCGAGCAACGCCGCGUGAGUGAAGAAGGUUUUCGGAUCGUAAAGCUCUGUUGUAAGUCAAGAACGGGUGUGAGAGUGGAAAGUUCACACUGUGACGGUAGCUUACCAGAAAGGGACGGCUAACUACGUG
This 497-nucleotide ribosomal RNA is filed under the name uncultured bacterium. Its description in RNAcentral is "partial 16S ribosomal RNA". It matches the Rfam family "Bacterial small subunit ribosomal RNA", at positions 28 to 507 of the family's 1533-position model. The record is from RNAcentral.